This 322-nucleotide ribosomal RNA is filed under the name uncultured Prevotella sp. Its description in RNAcentral is "partial 16S ribosomal RNA". Lineage: Bacteria; Pseudomonadati; Bacteroidota; Bacteroidia; Bacteroidales; Prevotellaceae. The record is from RNAcentral.
GGAGUUUGGACCGUGUCUCAGUUCCAAUGUGGGGGACCUUCCUCUCAGAACCCCUACUGAUCGCAGGCUUGGUGGGCCGUUACCCCGCCAACAACCUAAUCAGACGCAUCCCCAUCCCCAAUAGCGGUGAAUCUUUGCUCCUCAUCUGAUGCCAUCAAAGGAGAACAUAGAGUAUUAAUCCGACUUUCGCCGGGCUAUCCUCUAGUAAGGGGAAGGUUGGAUACGCGUUACUCACCCGUGCGCCGGUCGCCAUCAAAGGAAGCAAGCUUCCUUCAUGCUGCCCCACGACUUGCAUGUGUUAAGCCUGUAGCUAGCGUUCAUC